UACGUAGGGUGCGAGCGUUAAUCGGAAUUACUGGGCGUAAAGCGUGCGCAGGCGGUCUGUUAAGACAGAUGUGAAAUCCCCGGGCUUAACCUGGGAACUGCAUUUGUGACUGGCAGGCUAGAGUAUGGCAGAGGGGGUAGAAUUCCACGGUGUAGCAGUGAAAUGCGUAGAGAUGUGGAGGAAUACCGAUGGCGAAGGCAGCCCCCUGGGCCAAUACUGACGCUCAUGCACGAAAGCGUGGGGAGCAAACAGG
This 253-nucleotide ribosomal RNA is filed under the name uncultured bacterium. Its description in RNAcentral is "partial 16S ribosomal RNA". It matches the Rfam family "Bacterial small subunit ribosomal RNA", at positions 524 to 776 of the family's 1533-position model. The record is from RNAcentral.